This 460-nucleotide ribosomal RNA is filed under the name uncultured bacterium. Its description in RNAcentral is "partial 16S ribosomal RNA". It matches the Rfam family "Bacterial small subunit ribosomal RNA", at positions 338 to 795 of the family's 1533-position model. The record is from RNAcentral.
CCUACGGGUGGCAGCAGUGAGGAAUAUUGGUCAAUGGGCGAGAGCCUGAACCAGCCAAGUCGCGUGAGGGAAGACGGUCCUACGGAUUGUAAACCUCUUUUGUCAGGGAGUAAAGAGCGCCACGAGUGGUUCGUCGAGAGUACCUUAAGAAAAAGCAUCGGCUAACUCCGUGCCAGCAGCCGCGGUAAUACGGAGGAUGCGAGCGUUAUCCGGAUUUAUUGGGUUUAAAGGGUGCGCAGGCGGAAGCGGCAAGUCAGCGGUAAAAUUUCGGGGCUCAACCUCGCCGUGCCGUUGAAACUGCUAUUCUAGAGUGGGCGAGAGGUAUGCGGAAUGCGUGGUGUAGCGGUGAAAUGCAUAGAUAUCACGCAGAACUCCGAUUGCGAAGGCAGCAUACCGGCGCCCAACUGACGCUCAUGCACGAAAGCGUGGGUAUCGAACAGGAUUAGAUACCCCAGUAGUC